Molecule: long non-coding RNA, 1255 nt
Organism: Engraulis encrasicolus (European anchovy)
Lineage: Eukaryota; Metazoa; Chordata; Actinopteri; Clupeiformes; Engraulidae
Exons: 7
Source: RefSeq, a predicted model, not a curated record
CACACAACCUUAAAGGAAAAUCCCUACUAGUUUCAACAUCCAAUUAUAUUGUUCUCACUACCACUGGCUUGUCAGGACCCAACAACGCAGUUCAGGAUAAAUGUGUAUGUCAACUGUAUUGUAGGCCUAUUACUUUAACAACAAAAUCACAAUAACUGCUUUUUUUUGGCUGUAGGACACAAGUAAAAGGAGAAGAAUGCUGCUCAGCUGGGUUGGCGAAGCUCUUGGAUAUCAUCAGCACAUGUAUGAAGCACAGAGUCAUUCCGGUAGGCACAGAGUUGUUCCUCGAUGGACGUGAUGACCUGGCACCAAAACCGCUUAAUGUGUAUGAGGCUGUGUCUGCAUCGAGGGAAGAACCCAGCACUGAAAUGACACAAAUGAAAGAAGAGUACUUCUGCUCUGCUGGGUCUGCGACACUACUUAUCCGAGGAGUCCUCAAACAUCAGGAUGUAGGAAGACACAAGUAAAAGGAGAAGAAUGCUGCUCAGCUGGGUCGGCGGUCACACUACUUAUUCAAGAAGCUCUUGGAUAUCAUCGGCAUGUAUAAAGCACAGUCAUUCCGGUAUGCACGGAGUCGUUCCUCGAUGGACGUGAUGACCUGGCACCAAAACCGCUUAAUUUGUAUGAAGCUGUGUCUGCAUCGAGGGAAGAACCCAGCACUGAAAUGACACAAAUGAAAGAGGACGUCUUCUCUGCUGGGUGUGCGACACUACUUAUUCUAGGAAUCCUCAAACAUCAGGAUGUAGGAAACUUAUGGUGAGAUGCCAAGAGCCGCCAUGAGGGAUAUGCAACCUGCAGCUUCACCAUGCUUUUGGGAGAUCAUGUACUACGUGAACCUUGAGUAUCUACAAGCCAGCUACUUUAAGUUCUUGAAAGGGUAGUGAUGUCAUUCAAGCCAGAUCACGAGACAAGGUCCUGUACAAACUGUCAAUCUAAAUGUUGCGACAUCCCUGUCAGUUCUUUUGGACUGAAUACAUGCUGUGUUUGAAAUAUAUUAUUCGGAUAACUCCCCAUCAGAGAAUACCUUGUCUGUUAAUGACGGAUGGACAUGCCAUUGACAUGCCGUGCACACUUUGAUGUUUUUUAUUUUAAUGUUUUCUAUGUUUUCCAAUGUUCUUUUUUUAUUUAUGUUCUGUUAUAUGCUGGUUAUGUAAGUACUGUAUGGAAUGUAGUGACUGUAGAGACCAAGACAAAUUUCAACCUGGGGACAAAAAGUUCACACCACUCUGUUAGCGCAGUUAUGGAUACACUGUAA